This 500-nucleotide ribosomal RNA is filed under the name Craterostigmus tasmanianus. RNAcentral's name for it is "eukaryotic LSU rRNA". It matches the Rfam family "Eukaryotic large subunit ribosomal RNA", at positions 664 to 1105 of the family's 3401-position model. Lineage: Eukaryota; Metazoa; Arthropoda; Chilopoda; Craterostigmomorpha; Craterostigmidae. The record is from RNAcentral.
GACCAAGGAGUCUAACAUGUGCGCGAGUCGUAGGGUUACGCUCAAAGCCCGAAGGCGCAAUGAAAGUGAAGGUCGGCCUCGAUUGCCGUUACCUAGGCGGGAUCCGUUCGGGCUUACCGGUCGUUCGCGGCUGAGCCCGGCGGCGCACCGCCGGCCCGUCUCGACCGCAUCGCCGGUGAGGCGGAGCGAGAGCGUACACGUUGGGACCCGAAAGAUGGUGAACUAUGCCCGGGCAGGACGAAGCCAGAGGAAACUCUGGUGGAGGUCCGUAGCGAUUCUGACGUGCAAAUCGAUCGUCGGACCUGGGUAUAGGGGCGAAAGACUAAUCGAACCAUCUAGUAGCUGGUUCCUUCGAAGUUUCCCUCCGGAUAGUUGGGGCUCGGGGAGCGCCGUCUCAUCCGGUAAAGCGAAUGAUUAGAGGCCUUGGGUCCAAAAUGACCUCAACCUUUUGUCAAACUUUCAAUGGAUGAGAAGUCCGGCUUGCUUGACUGAAGCCCGGA